GCCUAACACAUGCAAGUCGAACGGAACUGUUUUGAAAGAUUUCUUCGGAAUGAAUUUGAUUUAGUUUAGUGGCGGACGGGUGAGUAACGCGUGAGUAACCUGCCUUCAAGAGGGGGAUAACAUUCUGAAAAGAAUGCUAAUACCGCAUGACAUAUUGGAACCACAUGGUUUUGAUAUCAAAGAUUUUAUCGCUUGAAGAUGGACUCGCGUCCGAUUAGUUAGUUGGUGAGGUAACGGCUCACCAAGACCGCGAUCGGUAGCCGGACUGGGGAGUUGAACGGCCACAUUGGGACUGAGACACGGCCCAGACUCCUACGGGAGGCAGCAGUGGGGGAUAUUGCGCAAUGGGGGCAACCCUGACGCAGCAACGCCGCGUGAAGGAUGAAGGUUUUCGGAUUGUAAACUUCUUUUAUUAAGGACGAAAAUUGACGGUACUUAAUGAAUAAGCUCCGGCUAACUACGUGCCAGCCGCCGCAGUAA
RNAcentral lists this ribosomal RNA (480 nucleotides) under uncultured bacterium. RNAcentral's name for it is "partial 16S ribosomal RNA". It matches the Rfam family "Bacterial small subunit ribosomal RNA", at positions 46 to 523 of the family's 1533-position model. The record is from RNAcentral.